This 253-nucleotide ribosomal RNA is filed under the name uncultured bacterium. RNAcentral describes it as "partial 16S ribosomal RNA". It matches the Rfam family "Bacterial small subunit ribosomal RNA", at positions 524 to 776 of the family's 1533-position model. The record is from RNAcentral.
UACAGAGGUCCCAAGCGUUGUUCGGAUUCACUGGGCGUAAAGGGUGCGUAGGCGGUCGGGUAAGUCUGACGUGAAAUCUUCAAGCUUAACUUGGAAACUGCGUCGGAUACUAUUCGGCUGGAGGAAUGGAGGGGAGACUGGAAUACUUGGUGUAGCAGUGAAAUGCGUAGAUAUCAAGUGGAACACCGGUGGCGAAGGCGAGUCUCUGGACAUUUCCUGACGCUGAGGCACGAAAGCCAGGGGAGCAAACGGG